Molecule: non-coding RNA, 134 nt
Organism: Brachypodium distachyon (stiff brome)
Lineage: Eukaryota; Viridiplantae; Streptophyta; Magnoliopsida; Poales; Poaceae
Source: Rfam
UUAAUACUUCCUCAGUCUAACAAAAGAUGUCUCAAGUUUGUCAAAUUUGAAUGUUUCUAGACAUGACUUAGUGUAUAGAUGCAUUCAAAUUUAGUCAAAAUUGAGACAUCCUUUGUCGGACGGAGGAAUAUAUU